Molecule: long non-coding RNA, 553 nt
Filed under: Pan troglodytes (chimpanzee)
Lineage: Eukaryota; Metazoa; Chordata; Mammalia; Primates; Hominidae
Description: lincRNA
Source: RNAcentral
CAGGAAAGCUUAUUAACAAAUACAUUCAGCACAGCUUGCAGGAAGCAACAAGUUUCAUGUAGAGUACCAUGGCGUCAUUAUGCAAGUGUCUGUCUGAGCAUGGUCAGUAAGAGAACUGGUGGUUUUGGUCCAUGAAAGAGCUGGGGUUCCUGGAAGUUUUUGGAAUGCCUGGCCAUGACAUUGGUUGGAGUCUGACUGGGCCCCAUGCAGAAAAUGCCACACUCUGCUGAGCUGACAUCUUUGUGUUCUGCUAGGAGGCCCAGGAAUUCAUAAAAGAAAAGACCUAAGGCACUUGAAAAUUUCGAAGCAGGCUCUCGUACAAUGCUGAUAUGUUGAAGACUCCAUGUGAUCAAGCCUUAGCCACAUUUUUAUGGAAGCCGAGCACCAGGGAGGCCCUUCUAGGAAGGAGCUUCAUUCCCAUCGGAAAGGUUGGCCAUGGCACCAGCCUCACACUGGUUGGAAAGGGCUCAUUGAGGAAUCUUUCCAGAGUGUUUCAUGACUUAACGUUUCAUGGCUGGCUCUGCACAACCUGCAAAUAAACAAAAACUAAAAC